GAAGGUGGCUAGCGUUGUUCGGUAUUACUGGGCUUAAAGCGUGUGUAGGCGGAAAGGUAAGCGCCUUGUGAAAGCCCCCCGGCUUAACCGGGGAAUUGCUUGGCGAACUGCUUUUCUUGAGGCAAGUAGGGGUGCAUGGAACUCUUGGUGGAGCGGUGGAAUGCGUAGAUAUCAAGAGGAACGCCAGUGGUGAAAACGGUGCACUGGGCUUGUUCUGACGCUGAGACACGAAAGCGUGGGGAGCGAACGGGAUUAGAUACCCCGGGUAGUCCACGCCGUAAACGAUGUCUACUAGGUAGUGGUGUCUCUGACGCCAGCACUGCCGAAGCAAAAGUGUUAAGUAGACCGCCUGGGGGAGUACGGUCGCAAGGCUA
RNAcentral lists this ribosomal RNA (374 nucleotides) under uncultured organism. RNAcentral's name for it is "partial 16S ribosomal RNA". It matches the Rfam family "Bacterial small subunit ribosomal RNA", at positions 527 to 896 of the family's 1533-position model. The record is from RNAcentral.